UGCGGCGUGCUUAACACAUGCAAGUCGAACGGUGACGGAGGAGCUUGCUCCCCCUGAUCAGUGGCGAACGGGUGAGUAACACGUGAGUAACCUGCCCCAGACUCUGGGAUAACAUCGGGAAACCGGUGCUAAUACCGGAUAUGAGACGAGACUGCAUGGUCAUCGUCUGGAAAGAUUUAUCGGUCUGGGAUGGACUCGCGGCCUAUCAGCUAGUUGGUGAGGUAAUGGCUCACCAAGGCGACGACGGGUAGCCGGCCUGAGAGGGCGACCGGCCACACUGGAACUGAGACACGGUCCAGACUCCUACGGGAGGCAGCAGUGGGGAAUAUUGCACAAUGGGCGCAAGCCUGAUGCAGCAACGCCGCGUGGGGGAUGAAGGCCUUCGGGUUGUAAACCCCUUUUAGCAGGGAAGAAGCGAAAGUGACGGUACCUGCAGAAAAAGCGCCGGCUAACUACGUGCCAGCAGCCGCGGUAAUACGUAGGGCGCAAGCGUUGUCCGGAAUUAUUGGGCGUAAAGAGCUCGUAGGCGGUUUGUCGCGUCUGCUGUGAAAGUCCGAGGCUCAACCUCGGAUCUGCAGUGGGUACGGGCAGACUAGAGUGUGGUAGGGGAGACUGGAAUUCCUGGUGUAGCGGUGGAAUGCGCAGAUAUCAGGAGGAACACCAAUGGCGAAGGCAGGUCUCUGGGCCAUAACUGACGCUGAGGAGCGAAAGCGUGGGGAGCGAACAGGAUUAGAUACCCUGGUAGUCCACGCCGUAAACGGUGGGCACUAGAUGUGGGGCUCUUUCCAUGAGUUCCGCGUCGCAGCUAACGCAUUAAGUGCCCCGCCUGGGGAGUACGGCCGCAAGGCUAAAACUCAAAGGAAUUGACGGGGGCCCGCACAAGCGGCGGAGCAUGCGGAUUAUUU
RNAcentral lists this ribosomal RNA (905 nucleotides) under Cellulomonas sp. KAR89. RNAcentral describes it as "bacterial SSU rRNA". It matches the Rfam family "Bacterial small subunit ribosomal RNA", at positions 38 to 951 of the family's 1533-position model. The record is from RNAcentral. Lineage: Bacteria; Bacillati; Actinomycetota; Actinomycetes; Micrococcales; Cellulomonadaceae.